CAUACAGACAGUACAUACAGACAAUAUCUAAUAACAACAGACAGUACAUACAGACAGUAUCUAAUAACCACAGACAUUACAUACAGACAGUAUCUAAUAACAACAGACAGUACAUACAGACAGUAUAUAAUAACCACAGACAUUACAUACAUACAGUAUCUAAUAACCACAGACAUUACAUACAGACAGUAUCUAAUAACC
This 201-nucleotide long non-coding RNA is filed under the name Mytilus galloprovincialis (Mediterranean mussel). Lineage: Eukaryota; Metazoa; Mollusca; Bivalvia; Mytilida; Mytilidae. The record is from RNAcentral.